GACGAACCGUCCAAACGUUAUUCGGAAUCACUGGGCUUACAGAGUUCGUAGGCGGUCUGGAAAGUUGGGUGUGAAAUCCCUCGGCUCAACCGAGGAACUGCGCUUGAAACUACCAGACUCGAGGGGGAUAGAGGAAAGCGGAACUGAUGGUGGAGCGGUGAAAUGCGUUGAUAUCAUCAGGAACACCGGUGGCGAAGGCGGCUCUCUGGGUCUUACCUGACGCUGAGGAACGAAAGCCAGGGGAGCGAACGGG
Molecule: ribosomal RNA, 253 nt
Filed under: uncultured bacterium
Lineage: Bacteria
Description: partial 16S ribosomal RNA
Rfam family: Bacterial small subunit ribosomal RNA
Source: RNAcentral